Molecule: ribosomal RNA, 272 nt
Filed under: uncultured bacterium
Lineage: Bacteria
Description: partial 16S ribosomal RNA
Rfam family: Bacterial small subunit ribosomal RNA
Source: RNAcentral
AUACGGAGGAUGCAAGCGUUAUCCGGAUUUAUUGGGUUUAAAGGGUUCGUAGGCGGAAAAUUAAGUCAGUGGUGAAAGCCUGCAGCUCAACUGCAGAACUGCCAUUGAUACUGAUUUUCUUGAAUUUAUAUGAAGUGGGCGGAAUGCGUCAUGUAGCGGAAAUGCACAGAUAUGACGCAGAACACCAAUUGCGAAGGCAGCUCACUAAUGUAAUAUUGACGCUGAGGAACGAAAGCAUGGGGAGCGAACAGGAUUAGAAACCCUAGUAGUCC